RNAcentral lists this long non-coding RNA (1279 nucleotides) under Monodelphis domestica (gray short-tailed opossum). RNAcentral describes it as "lncRNA (ENSMODG00000036988.1)". Lineage: Eukaryota; Metazoa; Chordata; Mammalia; Didelphimorphia; Didelphidae. The record is from RNAcentral.
GUGGUGGCAGUGAUGGGCCUGGGCAAGUUGUGACAGGCCCAUCGCAGCCAGCACGGCAGCCUCCGCUAUUCCAGACAGUGCUAUACAGAUUUGUUCAUAGUUUUUUUAUAGUCCGGUCUUCCAAUAGCCUGAGGGACCCCUGUGUAAAAAGUUUGGGGGCCCCUGCUCUAGAGAGACAAGGGAAAAGAGUAUAAGAGAAAUUUGAAAGGGUACCCUUGAUUAGAGACUUAAUAAUGAUGGUGAAGAGUAAAAGGUGACUAAGAAGGAUUAGUCAGAUAGGUAGUAGGAAAACGAGGAGAUAACAAUGUCAAACAAACAAACAGACUGGAGAAGAGAGCAUUUCAGAAAGGACAGGGCAAUGGAUAGAUAGCAUCAAAGGCUUCAGAGGAGUUGAGAGGAGUGAGGAUUUAGAAGAAGUCAUUUGAUUUUGCCACUAAGAGAUUAUUGAUAACCUUGGAGAGAGUAGCUUUAGUUGAAUGUUGCAGUUAGAAAUGAAAGUCAAGAAUGAAUGAGAGGAGAGCAAGUAAGGCUUAAUUGUACUUGGAAGCACUGAAUACAGAAAGUAGAUGUAAAAGGGAGCAAAGAAGAUCAUACCUCAAUGAUAUUAUAGCACUUAGUGACUAUUUUUAUAGAGCUAGAGACAGAAGCAGAGAAAAGAGGAGAAAUAGAGAGAUAGAAUGAGGGAAGGGAAAGAGACAACAGAAAGAGACAGAGAGAUCAACAUCUAAAAGUGGAGCCAAGAUGGCAAGGGAGAGAAAUCACUCAGCUGAGCUCUCCCAACUUUCCCCUCCAAACAACUUUAAAAUAAUGCCUCAAGUCAAAGUCUGGAGUGGCAGAUUCAACAAAAAGUCAGAGCGAGAUAUUCUUCCAGUCCGAGACAAUGUAGGAGGCUGAAGAGAAAGAUUUGUGAAGACUGCCCUAGAACUCGUAUAGAUGAAAUUCCAUUGUUGGGCCAACAUGGCAGUGACAGAAGCAGCAGCAGCAGCAGCUUCAGGAGCUAUCAAGACAGAUAUGGACAAUUUUGAGAAAACUAGUACAAUAAUGCCUGCCUUCAAGAAGGUUACAAUUCCAUUGGAAAAUCUCAAGCUGUGGAGUUCUCUACUGGGGUGGAAAACAGACUCCUUCAUCCUCCCCUUCUUCUCAUCCUGACACCAGACACUGUUACCUCUAUGGGCCUCAGGACACAUCAUCUCUUUGACCAUUAAAUUCUUCCAGGAGUUGGGGGAUACGGAGUUCAUAUAAGAUAACCUACGGAUGAGGGAGAAGGCAUGAGCAAUUA